CCUACGGGACGCAGCAGUGGGGAAUAUUGCACAAUGGGGGAAACCCUGAAGCAGCGACGCCGCGUGAGCGAAGAAGUAUUUCGGUAUGUAAAGCUCUAUCAGCAGGGAAGAAAAUGACGGUACCUGACUAAGAAGCACCGGCUAAAUACGUGCCAGCAGCCGCGGUAAUACGGAUGGAGCAAGCGUUAUCCGGAUUUACUGGGCGUAAAGGGAGCGCAGGCGGGCCGGCAAGUCUGAUGUGAAAGAC
RNAcentral lists this ribosomal RNA (247 nucleotides) under uncultured bacterium. Its description in RNAcentral is "partial 16S ribosomal RNA". It matches the Rfam family "Bacterial small subunit ribosomal RNA", at positions 338 to 602 of the family's 1533-position model. The record is from RNAcentral.